RNAcentral lists this ribosomal RNA (270 nucleotides) under uncultured archaeon. Its description in RNAcentral is "partial 16S ribosomal RNA". It matches the Rfam family "Archaeal small subunit ribosomal RNA", at positions 477 to 747 of the family's 1478-position model. The record is from RNAcentral.
CAGCCCCUCGAGUGGUGGGGAUGAUUAUUUGGCCUAAAGCGUCCGUAGCCGGCCGUGUAAGUCUCCCGUUAAAUCCAGCGUCUCAAGCGUUGGACUGCGGGAGAUACUGUACGGCUAGAGAGUGGGAGAGGUCAGCGGUAUUCUGGGGGUAGGGGCGAAAUCCUUUGAUCCCCGGAGGACCACCAGUGGCGAAGGCUGCUGACUAGAACACGUCUGACGGUCAGGGACGAAAGCUGGGGUAGCGAUCCGGAUUAGAUACCCGAGUAGUCC